This 253-nucleotide ribosomal RNA is filed under the name uncultured bacterium. Its description in RNAcentral is "partial 16S ribosomal RNA". It matches the Rfam family "Bacterial small subunit ribosomal RNA", at positions 524 to 776 of the family's 1533-position model. The record is from RNAcentral.
UACGUAGGGUGCGAGCGUUGUCCGGAAUUAUUGGGCGUAAAGAGCUCGUAGGCGGCUCGUCACGUCGGCUGUGAAAACCCGGGGCUCAACCCUCGAAUGCCGGUGGAUACUGUCGGGCUAGAGUGCGGAAGAGGCGAGUGGAAUUCCUGGUGUAGCGGUGAAAUGCGCAGAUAUCAGGAGGAACACCGAUUGCGAAGGCAGCUCGCUGGGACGUAACUGACGCUGAGACGCGAAAGCGUGGGGAGCAAACAGG